GGGUGAGUAACACGUGGAUAACCUACCUAUAAGACUGGGAUAACUUCGGGAAACCGGAGCUAAUACCGGAUAAUAUUUUGAACCGCAUGGUUCAAAAGUGAAAGACGGUCUUGCUGUCACUUAUAGAUGGAUCCGCGCUGCAUUAGCUAGUUGGUAAGGUAACGGCUACCAAGGCAACGAUGCAUAGCCGACCUGAGAGGGUGAUCGGCCACACUGGAACUGAGACACGGUCCAG
This 235-nucleotide ribosomal RNA is filed under the name uncultured Staphylococcus sp. RNAcentral's name for it is "partial 16S ribosomal RNA". It matches the Rfam family "Bacterial small subunit ribosomal RNA", at positions 104 to 334 of the family's 1533-position model. Lineage: Bacteria; Bacillati; Bacillota; Bacilli; Caryophanales; Staphylococcaceae. The record is from RNAcentral.